AACGAACGCUGGCGGCGUGCUUAACACAUGCAAGUCGAACGCGAAAGGGACUUCGGUCCUGAGUAGAGUGGCGCACGGGUGAGUAACGCGUAAGUGAUCUACCCCUGUAUUUGGGAUAACUAUGGGAAACUGUAGCUAAUACCGGAUACGUUCAUGUUCUUGCGAGUAUAUGAAGAAAGAUGGCCUCUGAUUCAAGCUAUUGUACAGGGAGGAGCUUGCGUACCAUUAGCUAGUUGGUAGGGUAAUGGCCUACCAAGGCAACGAUGGUUAGCGGGUCUGAGAGGAUGAUCCGCCACACUGGAACUGAAACACGGACCAGACUCCUACGGGAGGCAGCAGUGAGGAAUAUUGCGCAAUGGGGGCAACCCUGACGCAGCGACGCCGCGUGGAUGAUGAAGGCCUUCGGGUCGUAAAAUCCUGUCAGAUGGGAAGAAGUGCAUGGUGGUUAAUACCCAUCAUGUUUGACGGUACCAUCAGAGGAAGCACCGGCUAACUCCGUGCCAGCAGCCGCGGUAAUACGGAGGGUGCAAGCGUUGUUCGGAAUUACUGGGCGUAAAGCGCGCGUAGGCGGUUUGUUAAGUCAGAUGUGAAAGCCCAGGGCUUAACCUUGGACGUGCAUUUGGAACUGGCAGACUUGAGUAUUGGAGGGGGUGGUGGAAUUCCCGGUGUAGAGGUGAAAUUCGUAGAUAUCGGGAGGAAUACCGGUGGCGAA
This 712-nucleotide ribosomal RNA is filed under the name uncultured bacterium. RNAcentral describes it as "bacterial SSU rRNA". It matches the Rfam family "Bacterial small subunit ribosomal RNA", at positions 28 to 719 of the family's 1533-position model. The record is from RNAcentral.